GACACAUUGACCCUUCGGGUGAUUUGUUGGGCGUCGAGCGGCGGACGGGUGAGUAAUGCCUGGGAAAUUGCCCUGAUGUGGGGGAUAACCAUUGGAAACGAUGGCUAAUACCGCAUAACGUCUACGGACCAAAGAGGGGGACCUUCGGGCCUCUCGCUUCAGGAUAUGCCCAGGUGGGAUUAGCUAGUUGGUGAGGUAAUGGCUCACCAAGGCGACGAUCCCUAGCUGGUCUGAGAGGAUGAUCAGCCACACUGGAACUGAGACACGGUCCAGACUCCUACGGGAGGCAGCAGUGGGGAAUAUUGCACAAUGGGCGCAAGCCUGAUGCAGCCAUGCCGCGUGUAUGAAGAAGGCCUUCGGGUUGUANAGUACUUUCAGUCGUGAGGAAGGNGUUGAAGUUAAUAGCUUCAUCGUUUGACGUUNGCGACAGAAGAAGCACCGGCUAANUCCGNGCCAGCAGCCGCGGNAAUACGGAGGGUGCGAGCGNUAAUCGGAAUUACUGGNCGUANAGCGCAUGCAGGUGGUUUGUUAAGUCNGAUGUGANAGCCCGGNGCUCAACCUCGGAANCCGCAUUUUGAAACUG
Molecule: ribosomal RNA, 583 nt
Filed under: Vibrio sp. KR06-21
Lineage: Bacteria; Pseudomonadati; Pseudomonadota; Gammaproteobacteria; Vibrionales; Vibrionaceae
Description: partial 16S ribosomal RNA
Rfam family: Bacterial small subunit ribosomal RNA
Source: RNAcentral